RNAcentral lists this ribosomal RNA (468 nucleotides) under uncultured bacterium. RNAcentral's name for it is "partial 16S ribosomal RNA". It matches the Rfam family "Bacterial small subunit ribosomal RNA", at positions 28 to 507 of the family's 1533-position model. The record is from RNAcentral.
GACGAACGCUGGCGGCGUGCUUAACACAUGCAAGUCGAACGGACAGGCCCUGCCUUUGUGGCGUACUCGCGUGGCGAACGGGUGGGUAACCCGUUAGUCACCUGCCCUGUACUUCGGGAUAACCUCAGGAAACCCGGGCCAAUACCGGAUAGGAGCUCCCGCUGCCUGGUGGGGGUUGGGAAGUUUCGGCGGUUGGUGUUGGUUACGCGGCGUAUCAGCUUGUUGGUGGGGUAGUGGCUUACCAAGGCUUUGCCGGGUAGCCGGCCUGAGCGGGUGACCGGCGACAAUAGGACUGAGGUACGGCCCAGACGGCUACGGGACGCAGCAGUGGAGAAUCUUGCAGAGUGGGCGGGAGCCUGAUGUAGAAGCGCCGCGUGCGGGAUGACGGCCUGCGAGGUGUGAACCGCUUUCGCCGGUGACGAAGCGUGCGUGACGGUAAUGGGUAAGAAAGCACCGGCUAACUACGUG